This 206-nucleotide ribosomal RNA is filed under the name uncultured bacterium. Its description in RNAcentral is "partial 16S ribosomal RNA". It matches the Rfam family "Bacterial small subunit ribosomal RNA", at positions 1297 to 1500 of the family's 1533-position model. The record is from RNAcentral.
AUUGCAGGCUGCAACUCGCCUGCAUGAAGUUGGAAUUGCUAGUAAUCGCGAAUCAGAAUGUCGCGGUGAAUACGUUCCCGGGCCUUGUACACACCGCCCGUCACACCAUGGGAGUCGGAAAUGCCCGAAGUCUGUGACCCAACCUGAGAGGGAGGGAGCAGCCGAAGGCAGGUCUGAUGACUGGGGUGAAGUCGUAACAAGGUAUC